RNAcentral lists this ribosomal RNA (419 nucleotides) under uncultured eukaryote. Its description in RNAcentral is "SSU rRNA". It matches the Rfam family "Eukaryotic small subunit ribosomal RNA", at positions 592 to 1013 of the family's 1831-position model. The record is from RNAcentral.
CAAUAGCGUAUAUUAAAAUUGCUGCAGUUAAAAAAGCUCGUAGUUGAACUUCGGAACCGGUCGAUUGGUCCGUCCUCUGGAUUGUGUACUGAUCGAUCUGUUCUUCUUCGCGAAGACCGCCGUAGUGCCUUAACUGGGGUGUGCACGGGAUUCACGACGUUUACUUUGAAAAAAUUAGAGUGUUCAAAGCAGGCAUUCGCUUGAAUAUCUCAGCAUGGAAUAAUAGAAUAGGACUUUGGUCUUAUUUUGUUGGUUUCCGAGACCGAAGUAAUGAUUAAUAGGGACAGUUGGGGGCAUUCGUAUUUCAUUGUCAGAGGUGAAAUUCUUGGAUUUAUGAAAGACGAACUUCUGCGAAAGCAUUUGCCAAGGAUGUUUUCAUUAAUCAAGAACGAAAGUUGGAGGCUCGAAGACGAUUAGAU